GUGGUGAAAUCCCAGAGCUUAACUCUGGAACUGCCAUCAAAACUUUUCAGCUAGAGUAUGAUAGAGGAAAGCAGAAUUUCUAGUGUAGAGGUGAAAUUCGUAGAUAUUAGAAAGAAUACCAAUUGCGAAGGCAGCUUUCUGGAUCAUUACUGACACUGAGGAACGAAAGCAUGGGUAGCGAAGAGGAUUAGAUACCCUCGUAGUCCAUGCCGUAAACGAUGUGUGUUAGACGUUGGAAAUUUAUUUUCAGUGUCGCAGGGAAACCGAUAAACACACCGCCUGGGGAGUACGACCGCAAGGUUAAAACUCAAAUGAAUUGACGGGGACCCGCACAAGUAGUGGAGCAUGUGGUUUAAUUCGAAGAUACGCGCAGAACCUUACCAACACUUGACAUGUUCGUCGCGACUCUAAGAGAUUAGAGUUUUCGGUUCGGCCGGACGAAACACAGGUGCUGCAUGGCUGUCGUCAGCUCGUGUCGUGAGAUGUUGGGUUAAGUCCCGCAACGAGCGCAACCCUCACUUUUAGUUGCCAUCAUUAAGUUGGGCACUCUGAAAGAACUGCCAGUGAUAAGCUGGAGGAAGGUGGGGAUGACGUCAAGUCCUCAUGGCCCUUACGUGUUGGGCUACACACGUGCUACAAUGGCAUCUACAACAGGAAGCAAAACGGCAACGUUAAGCAAAUCCCGAAAAGAUGCCUCAGUUCGGAUUGCACUCUGCAACUCGAGUGCAUGAAGCUGGAAUUACUAGUAAUCGUGGAUCAGCGUGCCACGGUGAAUGCGUUCCCGGGUCUUGUACACACCGCCCGUCACACCAUGGGAGUUGGUUCUACCUUAAGGCAAGGUUUUAAACCCUUGACCACGGUAUAGUCAGCGACUGGGGUGAAGUCGUAACAAGGUAGCCGUAGGGGAACCUGCGGCUG
Molecule: ribosomal RNA, 918 nt
Filed under: marine metagenome
Description: bacterial SSU rRNA
Rfam family: Bacterial small subunit ribosomal RNA
Source: RNAcentral